This 439-nucleotide ribosomal RNA is filed under the name uncultured bacterium. RNAcentral's name for it is "partial 16S ribosomal RNA". It matches the Rfam family "Bacterial small subunit ribosomal RNA", at positions 339 to 795 of the family's 1533-position model. The record is from RNAcentral.
CUACGGGGGGCUCCAGUGGGGAAUAUUGCACAAUGGAGGAAACUCUGAUGCAGCAACGCCGCGUGGAGAAUGACACUUUUCGGAGCGUAAACUCCUUUUAUAUAGGAAGAAGAUGACGGUACUAUAUGAAUAAGCGCCGGCUAACUCCGUGCCAGCAGCCGCGGUAAUACGGAGGGCGCAAGCGUUACUCGGAAUCACUGGGCGUAAAGAGCGUGUAGGCGGAUUAAAAAGUCAGAAGUGAAAUCCUAUAGCUUAACUAUAGAACUGCUUCUGAAACUCUUAAUCUAGAAUAUGGGAGAGGUAGAUGGAAUUUCUGGUGUAAGGGUAAAAUCCGUAGAGAUCAGAAGGAAUACCGAUUGCGAAGGCGAUCUACUAGAACAUUAUUGACGCUGAGACGCGAAAGCGUGGGGAGCAAACAGGAUUAGAUACCCCUGUAGUC